AUAAUCGCACAGUUUGUCGUGCAGAUACACGAUGUUUAAGCUAUUUAUUUUGUCGUGUUUUAUUGGAGCUCUUGUCUAUGGACAGAGCCCAACAAUGAGUUAUAGCCAUAGAGCAAGUGUUGGGGUGAAUGGUUCUCUGUUUUGGGAGCUCAUCAACGCAACGCAUAUUACAAUGGAGAUCCACGUUCAAACAACCGGUUGGAUUGGUUUUGGUAUUUCACCAAACCCAAACAUGGUUAACGCCGAUAUCUAUGUUGGUUGGGUGAAAGGCUGUACUGGAUAUAUUACGGAUCGACAUGCAACAGCAGAUUCAUUCCCACCAAAAGACACCCAACAAGAUAUAGAAUUAUUGGCGGCGUCAGAAACCAACGGCUGGACUAUGUUAAAGUUUAGACGGCAGCUUGCGGCGUGCGAAACAACUUUUGAUCGUCCAAUCACGGAAGACACACUAAAGCUGAUAUGGGCGUAUGGAACAAGCGAUCCAAUUGGUACAGACAUUGUUGCUGGCAAUUACCAUGGUAUUACAAACAGAGGAACACAGAACUUCAUUCCUCUUCAAUCAAUUCCAAUUUCCCAACAAACUACCGUGCCUGGUGAAACACUUUUAACUUUUGACUUUGUCAAUUCUGCGUUUGCACUGCCUGCAGUUGAUACUUACUACAGUUGUCGGUUGCUUGCAUUUCCCACAUUAAGCAGCAAACAUCACAUUGUAAAGAUAGAACCGAUGAUCACAAGUGGUAACGAGUUGUAUGUACAUCACAUGGUAUUGUACAUUUGCUCUCAACAAACUUUACAGGCCUCUAGCUCGCUUGGCACAACAACACAAUGUUACACAAAUUUACCAACAGACUUUGAAACAUGCCAAGGUGUUUAUAUGGCUUGGGCUAUUGGCGGACAGUCAUUUUACUUACCAAGAGAGGCAGGAUUUUCCAUUGGUGCGACAGGAGACCCAAAGUUUGCAGUUUUGGAAAUUCACUAUGACAACCCUACAAUACGAUCUAAUGUUGUUGAUUCGUCUGGUUUAAAGUUGACAUACACUCCUAAUCUACGAGCCAACGAUGCAGCUAUGAUACAAGCAGGUCGUACCGUGUUUGGCUUAACUCACAUAAUCCCUCCAGGAGCACCGGCUUACAAAAGUUAUGGAGAAUGUACACAAAAUUGCCUUGAAUCUGCAAUGGGGACAAGUAUUAACAAUAUCACAGUUUUUGCAACACUUCUUCACUCUCAUCUUCUUGGAAAAGCAAUUUCUUUGAAGCACUUACGAGGAACAACAGAACUUAAACCAAUAGCAGUGGACAACUCAUAUGACUUUAACUUUCAAGAAAAUCGAUAUUUACCUGAGUACCGUGUGGUGAAACCUGGCGAUUCUUUGCAAGUUGUAUGUACGUAUAAUUCAGAGGGGAAAACUGGCUUUACUUCGGGUGGAUUGGGAACUUCAAAUGAAAUGUGUCUUGCAUUUGUAUUCUAUUAUCCUCAACUGCCGAUAACCAAUUGUGCUACUGCCCCUAGCUUCCAGCUUUUGGUUCCAUACCUUGGAUACAGUUUGUCUGAUUUAAGUUAUUCCAACUUUGAACGCAUACUCAUCUUUUGCUGAAAUAAAUAUAACAAGUGGUACAGAUGCGGGUAUGAAUGUUUUGCAAGCACUAAACAAUAGAACUUGGUCUGCCACAAAUAUUGCCACUUUCAACAAUGAUAUAAAGAAUAUGCAACGAGAUCAGGAAUGUCAUAAAAAUGCAGUCACCCCAGCUGGUGUUGUAACUUCCCUUGUACCACCCCCUAACAUAACCACAGCAUACGUAGCCCCAACAUUGACAUGUAACCCUUCAACACCAGCCGUUACCCAACCUUUGCAAAACUGCAUUACUGGUUCAGCGAAUUCCCUGCAGUUUCCCUACCACGGCAUGCUCUUCAGUUGGCUGGCUGUGAUUAUGAAACUCAUUCUUCCAUAGGUUGAUAUUUUUAUAUGUAGUAAUAUGUUUAAAAGAUAAUGAAAGAUAUUUUACAUGACACAUACUAAAUGGUGUAUAAAAAGUUGUUUAAAACAUUUUAUUUGAUAUGUUUAUUAUAGUAUUAGGUUUUAUGAUUUUGUUUUAUAAGGAUUUGCUUGCAGUGUUUUAUUAGUGAUAAAAAGUAUAUAUACCCAA
Ciona intestinalis (vase tunicate) is the source of this 2144-nucleotide non-coding RNA. The record is from RefSeq and is a predicted model, not a curated record. NCBI's taxonomy places the organism in Eukaryota, Metazoa, Chordata, Ascidiacea, Phlebobranchia, Cionidae.